This is a long non-coding RNA of Bombus impatiens (common eastern bumble bee), 382 nucleotides long. RefSeq lists it as uncharacterized. The transcript has 2 exons. The record is from RefSeq and is a predicted model, not a curated record. Lineage: Eukaryota; Metazoa; Arthropoda; Insecta; Hymenoptera; Apidae.
AUAUUUUGAGAUACUAUAUAUAUAUAUAUAUAUAUAUAUAUAUAUAUAUAUUUAUAUAUAUAUAAACAGAUAUUAUAUAUACAUACAUGUAAUAGAUACGUAAGCGGGAUGAAAAAAUUGCUUACCGCGCCAUAUAAUUUACCAGUAUUACUAUUGUUAUUGCUAUUAUUGCAAAUUUCAAAGUGUAGAUGGAUAUAAUCCUUUAAAUCUUAGGAUAUUAAUAAAGUCGAGUGAUUACUUGCAAUAAUAUAUGUAUACUAGGAAGCGAAGUUUAGUAAUGAAUUCAUAGAGACACCAACUUUUGACGAUCGUAUAUCGUGAUUUGACACAACAAGAAGUGUAAUUGAUCAGAAAUAUAAAUUUACAUUUUCAUAUUUUUUAA